RNAcentral lists this transfer RNA (71 nucleotides) under Ictidomys tridecemlineatus (thirteen-lined ground squirrel). RNAcentral's name for it is "Spermophilus tridecemlineatus (thirteen-lined ground squirrel) tRNA". It matches the Rfam family "tRNA". Rfam says of the family: Transfer RNA (tRNA) molecules are approximately 80 nucleotides in length. The record is from Rfam by way of RNAcentral. Lineage: Eukaryota; Metazoa; Chordata; Mammalia; Rodentia; Sciuridae. RNAcentral also lists the same sequence under 1 other name.
UGGGGUGUAGCUCAGUGGUAGAGUGCCUGCCUAGCAUGCAUGGAUCCCUGGGUUCAACCCCAGCACUGCAA